Molecule: long non-coding RNA, 774 nt
Organism: Panicum virgatum (switchgrass)
Lineage: Eukaryota; Viridiplantae; Streptophyta; Magnoliopsida; Poales; Poaceae
Exons: 3
Source: RefSeq, a predicted model, not a curated record
UCCAUUAAAGAGGCGUGCCGAAACAAGUAAACAGAGGCCUGCAAAGCGGUUCAAGCCUCCAAUGGUGGGAAACAAACAAGUGUCUCCGCUGGUGAUAAGGUCUCCGCUAGUGACAGGUUCUCCAAUGAUGAGGUUGGUUGUGUCACCUGUGGUGAUGGGGCCAAGGUCGACGUCACGCAGCCCGACAAGUCCUAUAUUGGAACCACAUGCUCCAGAGAGAUCCCCAUCCCAUUCCACAUCGCCAUCGCAAGGUUUUCAGUUAGCUACAAAAGCUAUAUUUUCUUCUGGAUUAUAUAAUCUUUACAUAUGAGAUGGCACAAAGAUAUAUGAUAUAACUGAAUUGAGAGUGUAGGCCACUAGUUCACAAAAGCCUCCAAAUUGCAGUUAUAUUGUUUGAGUUCUGCAACGUUAAUUGCAGUGUCACCUGACAAUGAUAUUACGUCUCUUUUUCCUUAAUGUUACAUGUAGUACAUGAUCAUUGUAUUUGUGCUUACUAUACUGAAAGGUGCAAUUACCAUGGAUGUAUUUCUGAAUACCAACUGGGAAGAGUUCUUUAUAACUUGUGCAAAGUGUGACUGGCUGGACAACAAACAUGUGGUCUUUGGGCUAUUGGAGGCGAGGACAUGUUGCUGCAUCUGUUGGCUUCAUAUCUGAUUAGCUCAACGCUAGGGAAAGAAUAAAGUGUGAGUUAGCUGAAUUAAGGCUGAUGUAGACUGUGUAGACGAUGAAUUAAGCCAGAUGAUGAAUUUCGAUGGUUGAUGGAUCUGGAGAAAA